RNAcentral lists this ribosomal RNA (700 nucleotides) under uncultured bacterium. RNAcentral's name for it is "bacterial SSU rRNA". It matches the Rfam family "Bacterial small subunit ribosomal RNA", at positions 56 to 776 of the family's 1533-position model. The record is from RNAcentral.
UGCAAGUCGAACGAUGAAGAGCAGCUUGCUGCUCGGAUUAGUGGCGCACGGGUGAGUAACGCAUAGGUAAUGUGCCCCUUAGUCUGGGAUAGCCACUGGAAACGGUGAUUAAUACUAGAUACUCCUUCUUGUCAUAAGGCAAGUCGGGAAAGUUUUUCGCUAAGGGAUCAGCCUAUGUCCUAUCAGCUUGUUGGUGAGGUAACGGCUCACCAAGGCUAUGACGGGUAUCUGGUUUGAGAGGAUGAUCAGACACACUGGAACUGAGACACGGUCCAGACUCCUACGGGAGGCAGCAGUGAGGAAUAUUGCACAAUGGAGGAAACUCUGAUGCAGCAACGCCGCGUGGAGGAUGACGCAUUUCGGUGUGUAAACUCCUUUUAAGAGGGAAGAUUAUGACGGUACCUCUUGAAUAAGCGCCGGCUAACUCCGUGCCAGCAGCCGCGGUAAUACGGAGGGUGCAAGCGUUACUCGGAAUCACUGGGCGUAAAGGGUGCGUAGGCUGGCUUUUAAGUCAGGUGUGAAAUCCAAUGGCUCAACCAUUGAACUGCACUUGAAACUGGGAGCCUAGAGUUCAGAAGGGGCAGAUGGAAUUAGUGGUGUAGGGGUAAAAUCCGUAGAUAUCACUAGGAAUAUCAAAAGCGAAGGCGAUCUGCUGGGAUGAUACUGACGCUGAGGCACGAAAGCGUGGGGAGCAAACAGG